RNAcentral lists this ribosomal RNA (419 nucleotides) under uncultured bacterium. RNAcentral describes it as "bacterial SSU rRNA". It matches the Rfam family "Bacterial small subunit ribosomal RNA", at positions 355 to 772 of the family's 1533-position model. The record is from RNAcentral.
UAGGGAAUAUUGGUCAAUGGAUGCAAGUCUGAACCAGCCAUGCCGCGUGCAGGAAGAAGGCCUUCUGGGUUGUAAACUGCUUUUGCCAGGGGAUAAAAAUCUCAUGCGUGAGAAAUUGAAGGUACCUGGUGAAUAAGCCACGGCUAACUACGUGCCAGCAGCCGCGGUAAUACGUAGGUGGCAAGCGUUGUCCGUAUUUAUUGGGUUUAAAGGGUGCGUAGGCGGCCUAUUAAGUCAGUGGUGAAAUAUUUCAGCUCAACUGGAAUUGUGCCAUUGAUACUGAUGGGCUUGAGUACAGAUGAGGUAGGCGGAAUUGACGGUGUAGCGGUGAAAUGCUUAGAUAUCGUCAAGAACACCUAUAGCGAAGGCAGCUUACUAGGCUGUAACUGACGCUGAGGCACGAAAGUGUGGGGAUCAAA